Long non-coding RNA from Trichoplusia ni (cabbage looper), 2655 nucleotides. RefSeq lists it as uncharacterized. NCBI's taxonomy places the organism in Eukaryota, Metazoa, Arthropoda, Insecta, Lepidoptera, Noctuidae. The transcript is spliced from 2 exons. The record is from RefSeq and is a predicted model, not a curated record.
ACUAACAAUCUACGAUUGAAAUCUACGUCAAUCGUAUCACCAAUGGAACGAUUUGCAAUGACAUUGCGGUAAGUAAAGACAUUUCGAUAUUAAUAAUCAUCUUUAUUCAUGUAAAAAAACAGUCAUUAUUUAACAAAAGUUUAGAACACUCAUAUUUUUUUGCCAAUUUAUGUAAGUCACAUUACUGUUUAGCCACAUCAAGCAAGAAAGAAGAAGAAGUUCUUAUUGUUUCGGCAGUGACACCUGAAUAUGGCUUAAAAUGUUUUUCUUGAUGUGGUUCACUCUGUUCUUAGGACCGAAACACAUAACCGCACACUUAUUAAUCAUCAUAUUAAUCACAGUUUCUUACAUUUAUUAAUUAUAUUUUGUUAUUUCUAAAUUACACAGUUUUAUCGUUUUCGUUUUUUUUUUAUCUAUACCUACUUAUUCACUAAUUUUUUUAUAUACUUAAUCACAUCAGUCAUCACAGUGUCUUGCAUAAACGCUACGUUACAAUUAGUUUUUGAUUAAUCAUUUGAAAUACACUAAUAAAAUCACAGGUUCAAGUUUAAAAUAAAAAAACACAAUAACAGUUAAAACAGUACAAUAAGUCAAAAUGUCUUAAUUAUAUUAAUAUACCUACCUUACAAAGUAUUAAUUAUAAUGACGCAUAUUGAUUGCAAGUUUUUACAUAUGAAUAUUUCCCUUAUUAAUUAUUCCCUUCUAUUACUAGAUCGGGUACUAAUAUUAUUUUAAAUUCUUAUUUAUCAUCACAAUCAUAAUCACAGUUUAUUACAUAAAAGAUUAAAUUUAAGAAGAGGACAUAUGAAGGAGCAAUGUUAUGAGUAGGUUCAAGAAAAAGGUCCAUUAAGUAAAAAAGGGGUCUAUUGAUACACUUUUUUAUUUGACCCCAAAAUAGGGUUUAAGAUAAAAGUGUCCGAAUCGACCCCGUUUCUUUCCUUAUGAACAUUACACCUCAAGGCUUGUCGAAUGCCCUUGCAUAUCAUAAUAAUUGCACAUGAGACCAGAAAAAUAUAAAUAUAAAAUUGCGCUUUUUACUAACUUAAAUAGUUCUUCAUGUUCUUCUCUUUCUUUUGUUCUUAAUAAUUAAACAGUCUUAAUCAAAUCUUCAGUCUUUCUUGUUACCUAUUUAUUCAUUGUUCGUAUCUGAUCUUACAUUUAAGGAUUCUAAAUCAUUCUUUACCGUAUUUUGCGUUAAUGAAAGGUCAUCAAUGGUAAUAAUCAUUUCUUUUUCUAUAUCAAUCAAAGCUUCUAAUACUUUCGUACGAAAUAAUAUUUUUUUAAAGCAACUCAAUUUUUUUACAGUUGGUAAUAAUGACUUAAAAAAAUUCAAGUCUUCGUCCAUAGUAUCUGCAGUGUUAUUCUUCACGCAAUUUAACAACUCUAAUUCGAAAUCAGUUGGCGAUUCGCACUUACGUUUCUUGGAAGAUCGUGUUUCUUUGGUAAAGCUGGAGCUGGUGCUAGAUAUUUAGUUAGUGGACAUACCUUCGUCGAUAUUCAUCUGGCGUAUCAUACAGGACUAACCACGGUCAGAAAAAUAGUAACAGAAGUUUGUCAAAUUAUAAUUGAAAGGUUAAAGGAAGAAUGUAUACCAAAAUUUUCCCGUGCGCUAUGGGAAGAGACUGAAAAAGGUUUUUUAACGCAAGCCCAGUUUCCUAACUGCAUAGGUGCAAUAGACGGAAAACAUAUACGCAUUAUAAGACCUCCACAUAGUGGUUCCCUCUAUUACAACUAUAAGCAUUACUAUUCUAUUGUACUGCUUGCAAUGUGUAACGCCAACUAUGAGUUUACCUAUAUAAACGUGGGAGUGCAGGGUAAAGAAUCUGACUCCGCAAUUUUCACACAAAGCCGAUUGUACGAACAAAUCAACAAUGACUUAAUAUAUAUUCCUCCUGCCAAAGCAUUGCCCCUAAUACACAAUGAUAAACCAACCAACAUUGCUGCAACCGCAGCUUUGCCCUAUAUUAUUGUAGGAGAUGAAGCAUUUGGGUUAUCUAGCCAUGUCAUGCGGCCAUAUGCUCGAGCUCUCGAUUUAAACUACAAAAAAAAAUAUUCAAUUAUAGGUUAACGAGAGCGCGACGCUAUAUUGAGUGUACAUUUGGUAUCAUGGCUAAUAAAUUUCGCAUACUCCAUCGUCCAUUGAACGUUGGAAAAGACAAAGCAAUUUGUUUUCUUAAAACAAUUUGUAUUUUGCAUAAUUUUAUAAGAUCAAGAAGUCAAAUUAAUGACUUUCAUGAUAUUGUCAUUAUACCAGACCAUAUACGUUCAGUUCGGGGGUUAAUUGGAAAUACCCACAGAGAUUCGUAUACAUUACGCGAUAACUUCGCAGAUUAUUUCGUUGCAGACGGACAGCUGUCAUGGCAAGAUCGCAGUAUUUAUUGAAGAUAGUUGGCUUUUUUAUAAUUUAUGUACAUUCAAUAAUUGAAUUUUCACGGUUUUUUACCACACAUUUUUUAUUAACAUAGCAGGCAUAUUUUAAUAAUAUACCUAAUGAUUUUAUUUGUUAAAUUCAUCGGAUGUAACCAAAUAACUUAGAUUGUUGUAAACUAAAGUUGAGAGAUGUCAAAGAAAAACCUACAAAACUACAAAACGCACGCUUAUUUUACAAAGUUACUGGCCCAAUUCUAAAACCAAUAUAAUAAAUAUUUUAGUUGA